Non-coding RNA from Misgurnus anguillicaudatus (oriental weatherfish), 751 nucleotides. Lineage: Eukaryota; Metazoa; Chordata; Actinopteri; Cypriniformes; Cobitidae. The record is from RefSeq and is a predicted model, not a curated record.
AAGGAUGAGCUGUUAAAAGAUGAUGACCCUCCAUCAAGCUUUAUCUUCAAGGAGCGUUGCUGAAGAACAUAGUUGUUCUUCAAGAAGAAGAUGCUGCCUACACGACCCUGUCAUUGGCUUGCUCAAGGUUCAGGGACAUAGUUGGUGAUGACAAGUUCAAGAAUCAGGCACACUUCUUAUGGCUAGAAAGUAAAUAUUGACAUUAAAAAAUAAAAUGCAUAACAAGAACAUCAUUGAUAAUGUUAUGUGAUUUUUUUCACCUCGGGUGUUACAUGCUGGAAAAAAGACAUCUCACUACAAACAGCUCUUCUGGAAGAUGUACUCAUUCUCCACUUGUUUGGAGUGUGGGUUUGAGUACAAAUGCUGCACACCUGGUACUUUUUGUGUAAAUUGGUGAUGAAUAAACUAGUUGUUAGUCUAGAGGAAAACUAAAAAUCUAAUUUACUUAUGUCAUCCCUUGGAGUUUAAAAGUUCUGGACACCAUUCAAUUGACCUACAGAACUGAGAAAUUAUUCCUAAUGUUUGUAAAUGUUCACUGUCAACUAUAAACCCUAGUUCUUAUUGUGCUUCUUGUGUAUCCAUCAGGUUAUGCUGGGAAGGGAAAGCGAGGUGAACUCCAGGGCAUUUAUUCAAAAACCUUCCACCCUGGAUUUUGCAGAUUUGACUGCAUGCAGAUCAGUUCUAAUGAGCUGAUAUAGUUUCCUUACAAAGACUAAAAAUAAUAAAAUAAAAUAAACACUUUUGCAAUCAA